AUUGAACGCUGGCGGCAUGCCUUACACAUGCAAGUCGAACGGCAGCACGGGUGCUUGCACCUGGUGGCGAGUGGCGAACGGGUGAGUAAUACAUCGGAACGUACCUUAUCGUGGGGGAUAACGCAGCGAAAGUUGCGCUAAUACCGCAUACGCCCUGAGGGGGAAAGCGGGGGACCGUAAGGCCUCGCGCGAUUAGAGCGGCCGAUGUCUGAUUAGCUUGUUGGUGAGGUAAAAGCUCACCAAGGCGAUGAUCAGUAGCUGGUCUGAGAGGACGAUCAGGCAGACUGGGACUGAGACACGGCCCAGACUCCGACGGGAGGCAGCAGUGGGGAAUUUUGGACAAUGGGGGCAACCCUGAUCCAGCAAUGCCGCGUGAGUGAAGAAGGCCUUCGGGUUGUAAAGCUCUUUUGUCAGGGAAGAAACAGCAGCUCUAACACAGUCUGCGAAUGACGGUACCUGAAGAAUAAGCACCGGCUAACUACGUGCCAGCCGCCGCGGUAA
This 501-nucleotide ribosomal RNA is filed under the name uncultured bacterium. Its description in RNAcentral is "partial 16S ribosomal RNA". It matches the Rfam family "Bacterial small subunit ribosomal RNA", at positions 30 to 523 of the family's 1533-position model. The record is from RNAcentral.